UCGACGGGAACGAAUGAAACCUAGUGAUUUCUGUUUCAGUGGCGGACGGGUGAGUAACGCGUGGGUAACCUGCCUUGCACUGGGGGAUAACACUUAGAAAUAGGUGCUAAUACCGCAUAAGCGCACAAUACCGCAUGGUAGAGUGUGAAAAACUCCGGUGGUGCAAGAUGGACCCGCGUCUGAUUAGCCAGUUGGCGGGGUAACGGCCCACCAAAGCGACGAUCAGUAGCCGGCCUGAGAGGGUGAACGGCCACAUUGGGACUGAGACACGGCCCAAACUCCUACGGGAGGCAGCAGUGGGGAAUAUUGCACAAUGGGGGAAACCCUGAUGCAGCAACGCCGCGUGAGUGAAGAAGUCAUUCGUGAUGUAAAGCUCUAUCAGCAGGGAAGAAAAUGACGGUACCUGACUAAGAAGCCCCGGCUAACUACGUGCCAGCAGCCGCGGUAAUACGUAGGGGGCAAGCGUUAUCCGGAUUUACUGGGUGUAAGGGGAGCGUAGACGGCGAGACAAGUCUGAAGUGAAAUGCCAGUGCUCAACACUGGAACUGCUUUGGAAACUGCCUGGCUGGAGUGCGGGAGAGGUAAGUGGAAUUCCUAGUGUAGCGGUGAAAUGCGUAGAUAUUAGGAGGAACACCAGUGGCGAAGGCGGCUUACUGGACCGUAACUGACGUUGAGGCUCGAAGGCGUGGGGAGCAAACAGGAUUAGAUACCCUGGUAGUCCACGCGGUAAACGAUGAUUAC
RNAcentral lists this ribosomal RNA (741 nucleotides) under uncultured bacterium. Its description in RNAcentral is "bacterial SSU rRNA". It matches the Rfam family "Bacterial small subunit ribosomal RNA", at positions 62 to 816 of the family's 1533-position model. The record is from RNAcentral.